RNAcentral lists this ribosomal RNA (468 nucleotides) under uncultured bacterium. Its description in RNAcentral is "partial 16S ribosomal RNA". It matches the Rfam family "Bacterial small subunit ribosomal RNA", at positions 28 to 507 of the family's 1533-position model. The record is from RNAcentral.
GACGAACGCUGGCGGCGUGCUUAACACAUGCAAGUCGAACGGAAAGGCCCUGCUUUUGUGGGGUGCUCGAGUGGCGAACGGGUGAGUAACACGUGAGUAACCUGCCCUUGACUUUGGGAUAACUUCAGGAAACUGGGGCUAAUACCGGAUAGGAGCUCCUGCUGCAUGGUGGGGGUUGGAAAGUUUCGGCGGUUGGGGAUGGACUCGCGGCUUAUCAGCUUGUUGGUGGGGUAGUGGCUUACCAAGGCUUUGACGGGUAGCCGGCCUGAGAGGGUGACCGGCCACAUUGGGACUGAGAGACGGCCCAGACGCCUACGGGGGGCAGCAGUGGGGAAUAUUGCACAAUGGGCGGAAGCCUGAUGCAGCAACGCCGCGUGCGGGAUGACGGCCUUCGGGUUGUAAACCGCUUUCGCCUGUGACGAAGCGUGAGUGACGGUAAUGGGUAAAGAAGCACCGGCUAACUACGUG